Molecule: long non-coding RNA, 707 nt
Filed under: Athene cunicularia (burrowing owl)
Lineage: Eukaryota; Metazoa; Chordata; Aves; Strigiformes; Strigidae
Description: lncRNA (ENSACUG00000007370.1)
Source: RNAcentral
UGAGAAGGGAAGCACUGGACAUGCAAGAGAGCUAUGCCAUCUUCUUCCUGCCAUACUGCCACGACUGCAAGAAGGAAAGCCACUCAAGCUGAAAAAGAAGGUGGUGGUUGCGGAGAAGUGUCUGUGAGGAGCUCUCAGCUCUGGAAAGGACUCACUGGUCUGAAAUAGCCCGGGACUGUUGAUCUCCAGGUCAUGCUACAAGAAGCAUCCUUCUGCUCACACUGGUGAUGACUGUGAUGUCUGCAGAAAAAGAAGAAUUUGUGCGAGCUCUGUAACAAGUGAGGGGAGAGUGUGGUCGCCUGCUAUUACAAAAUCCAUAGGAUCUGUGGAAGGGGAACAGUCCUGGGAGAAGACUUCAAGUGAUGCAACUAGAUGGAGUCUGCUCACACCAGAGACCAAGGGGCACAGUCUUCCCAAAUCCUUAAUAAUAUACAUUGAAACUAGACUCGGAAUACUUUAUCUUGACCUUUUACAAAUCUACACCACAACAGCAUAUAAAGGCUUCAUCUCAUGUGGAACUGGGACUUAAUAUUUAGCAAGCCUUUCAUAUAUAAGAUAGAAUUUAACCAUGAAAAAACACAUAUAAUGUAGCAUUUUUGCCAGCAAGAUAUUUUAUCACCUUCUCUUGAAGCUCAGAAUAUAGAAGUGACAAGGUGAAAGGGCAACCGAUAGCCAUCUUUACCGCAGAAUUCUUCAAUGCAAUGAUG